RNAcentral lists this ribosomal RNA (740 nucleotides) under uncultured bacterium. RNAcentral's name for it is "bacterial SSU rRNA". It matches the Rfam family "Bacterial small subunit ribosomal RNA", at positions 790 to 1530 of the family's 1533-position model. The record is from RNAcentral.
GUAGUCCUGGCUGUAAACGAUGUCGACUUGGAGGUUGUGCCCUUGAGGCGUGGCUUCCGGAGCUAACGCGUUAAGUCGACCGCCUGGGGGGUACGGCCGCAAGGUUAAAACUCAAAUGAAUUGACGGGGGCCCGCACAAGCGGUGGAGCAUGUGGUUUAAUUCGAUGCAACGCGAAGAACCUUACCUGGUCUUGACAUCCACGGAAGUUUUCAGAGAUGAGAAUGUGCCUUCGGGAACCGUGAGACAGGUGCUGCAUGGCUGUCGUCAGCUCGUGUUGUGAAAUGUUGGGUUAAGUCCCGCAACGAGCGCAACCCUUAUCCUUUGUUGCCAGCGGUCCGGCCGGGAACUCAAAGGAGACUGUUAGUGAUAAACUGGAGGAAGGUGGGGAUGACGUCAAGUCAUCAUGGCCCUUACGACCAGGGCUACACACGUGCUACAAUGGCGCAUACAAAGAGAAGCGACCUCGCGAGAGCAAGCGGACCUCAUAAAGUGCGUCGUAGUCCGGAUUGGAGUCUGCAACUCGACUCCAUGAAGUCGGAAUCGCUAGUAAUCGUGGAUCAGAAUGCCACGGUGAAUACGUUCCCGGGCCUUGUACACACCGCCCGUCACACCAUGGGAGUGGGUUGCAAAAGAAGUAGGUAGCUUAACCUUCGGGAGGGCGCUUACCACUUUGUGAUUCAUGACUGGGGUGAAGUCGUAACAAGGUAACCGUAGGGGAACCUGCGGCUGGAUCACCUCC